Molecule: long non-coding RNA, 2331 nt
Filed under: Salmo salar (Atlantic salmon)
Lineage: Eukaryota; Metazoa; Chordata; Actinopteri; Salmoniformes; Salmonidae
Description: lncRNA (ENSSSAG00000103974.1)
Source: RNAcentral
CGAACACCAAAAGAAGCACUUUUCUAAUGCAUCCUUACCAGAAAAAAUCCUGAUGUGUACCAAUUCACCUCUCAACAAUCACUAAAUUUACCUGCUGCCUCCAUAUUUGUGUUAAAAACAAUUGUGCUAAUUUCAAUGAUAUGCAAGAAAAAUGUUAGACCGCAGCGAGUGACCAAAGGGAUGUGUGUGGACAGAGGCACUAUUAUAUUACCAGAUUUAGAUUGAACUGAAAAUGAUUUGUAUUCUAGAUCCACAUUUGAUGCACUGGUCAUUAUUACCCACCCACUCCUUUUCAGCUUUUCAAUUUCAGGCCAAUUGUAAAAAAUGUUGGGGGGAGUGUGUGUAUCACCAAUAGAUCUGUUAUGAGUUGCAUUUUGCAUUGCUUUUGGUAACAUUGCCGGUACCUGUAAACUGGUCCCUGUUAUCCACAAACACCUAUCUUUGUGUCUGUGUGGAUUUAGGUAAAGUUGCUUCCAAAUGCUGAUCUAAGGUCAGUUGUCGAUUUUUCAUUUAUUUUAUUUUUUACCUCCCAAUGUUUAAAGCUAGGAUUGGGCUAGAGUGAACUGACACCAGAUGUACACUUUAGGGUGGCUUCUACCUCCAGUCUGUCUGUUUGUGUACUGAAUCUAGGACAAGGAGAACAGACUUGGCUCUCCUAUUGAUUUAGAUGCUACUGCUCCUCCUGCUGGCCUUAUCAUGUAAUGCCUUAAUCAGACCACCUCUCUUCAGAGCCUUUCAGGAUAGGCAUCUGUUCACUGCAACAACACACCAGCCAAUAAGAAGACAUGUUGACAAGUCUGGUUCCUAUAUAGCAGUGUUGCUCAACUGGAUUCCUGGGGUACCGUAUGGUGUUGCAUAUUUUUGUUCUAGCCCAGCCCGAACACCUGAAUCAACUAAUUACAGGUUUAAUUAUUAGUUGAGUCUUAUUUUUGAAUCAGGUGUGUUUGCUGGGCUAGAACAGAAAAUGGAGCUGUGCUGCGGUGUGGACGAUCAAGACCUGGACUUAAGAAAUGGAAGCUGUAGAGAGGGAGACUAUACAGCUGCCUCAAUGCCCCUUAGAGGUCAAAAUGAUUUAGCCUGUGGAAAUGGUUGAGUUUUAGGAGAUGACACUGGUCUCACUUUAAAUCAAUUUUAGCGCAGACAAGGUUGAGAAAGCAGAAUUUGAAGAUUUCAAAUACAGGAACCUCAAUUUUUUUCCCUCUAAGGUCAUCAGAGUGAAAGGAAGUGAAGGGCCUUUUUUUAUUCUUCAGAUAUGCUUAUUUGUGUUCCUCUGCAGUCAAAACAUUUGAGGUUGUGAAAUGCUACAUUUUACAAUAAUAUUCUACCCUCUUGGUAAACCUCAGUGUUUACUCCUGAGUGGUUAUCUUGUCUGUUUUCAAUUUAUUUUCUUUUGUGUUGUCAAUGUGAACUGAAAAUGUAUGAUGUCCUGUAAUUUGUAUUUUUUUAAUCAUUGAAUGAUCUUGCUUUUUCAUGGGGGGAAAGUAUUUAAACAGCGAUUGAGUGCACUACUUAUUUUGUACCUACUGUUGACUGUAGUUAGAAUGCCAGUCUCGCUCUCUACCAUCUAGAUACUAUCCACUGUUUCACUUGUGUAUUAUGGAAAUGGUGGAAAGAACUCUGUGGCUUUGAGUCAAGGCUGGAGGAAUUGUCAAUUUCCUUAUGCUUCUAUUGAAGAACUCCCUUGUACACAGACAGACACACAGGCUUGUGUGAUACGUUCCUAUGAUACGUUUUUAUCUUUGGAGUCAGUUCCCUGGUUGUCUUUUAUAGGGACAAACAAAAGCUAUUGUAUGUCUUGAGUAAGUAUCUCUGCAGUUUAAAUUAUUUCAAAUGUACUUGAAUUGAAAGAUGUGGGACGAGUCUUAGUCAAGUAGUGGAAUGUCAGGAUUUACUCAAAUGCCAUUGUCUGACUAAAUUAUGUGCUUGUGAGUGAUCUUAAUUCAUGGAUUGGUCAGUUGAUUCACCCACCUAUCAUUCAGACUUUUACACAUUGCUGCUGACCACACCAGGAUAAUUCUGAACUAGGUAAAAGGCUUAAGCUGUGGUGUCGCUCUCCUUCUCUUGCUCUCUCCAUUUCUCUCUCCUUCACCUUGUUGUUUUUGCUGGCUUCCUCCCUUCCUUGAAGUAAUAAGUGAUAUAAUGUGACAGUUGAAAGAAAUGGCUUUUCCCUUACGGAUUUCACCUGUCUAGUCAUGUCCAAUCAGUGAUUACUUGAAGGAAGAGAGAAAGGACUGUAUUUAUCCCAGGCCUUUUGACUUUCUAUGACCCUGGUGCAGCAUGGAGGUGCUGACCCCAGGGUUUCUUGAGAGGACAGAGGAUGUAUUUUCCACG